AGACCCGAAACCCGGUGAUCUAGCCAUGGGCAGGUUGAAGGUUGGGUAACACUAACUGGAGGACCGAACCGACUAAUGUUGAAAAAUUAGCGGAUGACUUGUGGCUGGGGGUGAAAGGCCAAUCAAACCGGGAGAUAGCUGGUUCUCCCCGAAAGCUAUUUAGGUAGCGCCUCGUGAAUUCAUCUCCGGGGGUAGAGCACUGUUUCGGCAAGGGGGUCAUCCCGACUUACCAACCCGAUGCAAACUGCGAAUACCGGAGAAUGUUAUCACGGGAGACACACGGCGGGUGCUAACGUCCGUCGUGAAGAGGGAAACAACCCAGACCGCCAGCUAAGGUCCCAAAGUCAUGGUUAAGUGGGAAACGAUGUGGGAAGGCCCAGACAGCCAGGAUGUUGGCUUAGAAGCAGCCAUCAUUUAAAGAAAGCGUAAUAGCUCACUGGUCGAGUCGGCCUGCGCGGAAGAUGUAACGGGGCUAAACCAUGCACCGAAGCUGCGGCAGCGACACUGUGUGUUGUUGGGUAGGGGAGCGUUCUGUAAGCCUGUGAAGGUGUGCUGUGAGGCAUGCUGGAGGUAUCA
RNAcentral lists this ribosomal RNA (576 nucleotides) under Escherichia coli. RNAcentral describes it as "partial 23S ribosomal RNA". It matches the Rfam family "Bacterial large subunit ribosomal RNA", at positions 711 to 1284 of the family's 2925-position model. The record is from RNAcentral. Lineage: Bacteria; Pseudomonadati; Pseudomonadota; Gammaproteobacteria; Enterobacterales; Enterobacteriaceae.